GGCGGAUGUAGCCAAGUGGAUCAAGGCAGUGGAUUUGUGAAUCCACCUGCCGCG
Molecule: transfer RNA, 54 nt
Filed under: Calliandra juzepczukii
Lineage: Eukaryota; Viridiplantae; Streptophyta; Magnoliopsida; Fabales; Fabaceae
Description: partial tRNA-His
Source: RNAcentral